This 673-nucleotide ribosomal RNA is filed under the name Neonephrites sp. COL422. RNAcentral's name for it is "eukaryotic LSU rRNA". It matches the Rfam family "Eukaryotic large subunit ribosomal RNA", at positions 670 to 1262 of the family's 3401-position model. Lineage: Eukaryota; Metazoa; Arthropoda; Insecta; Coleoptera; Ripiphoridae. The record is from RNAcentral.
GGAGUCUAGCAUGUGCGCAAGCAAUUUGGAGCUUUUAUGAAGCCUAAAUACGCAAUGAAAGUGAAUGCACUUUAUGAUGGGUUUCAUAUUCAUCAUUAGUACAAAUGGAAGAUAUGCAAAUAUGCGCAAGCAUAUUGGUGUCGCACUCCAGGGGCGUCUCAUUCUCAUUGCGAGAGGAGGCGCACCAAGAGCGUACACGCUGGGACCCGAAAGAUGGUGAACUAUGCCUGGUCAGGAUGAAGUCAGGGGAAACCCUGAUGGAGGUCCGUAGCGAUUCUGACGUGCAAAUCGAUCGUCGGAACUGGGUAUAGGGGCGAAAGACUAAUCGAACUAUCUAGUAGCUGGUUCCCUCCGAAGUUUCCCUCAGGAUAGCUGGCUCUUAACGGAGGAGUUUCAUCUGGUAAAGCGAAUGAUUAGAGGCAUUGGGGUCGAAACGGCCUCAACCUAUUCUCAAACUUUAAAUGGGUGAGAUCGUCGGCUUGCUUGAACUAAAAUGAAGCCGUACGAAUUUAAUUACGAUUUGAAUCAAAGUGCCAAGUGGGCCAUUUUUGGUAAGCAGAACUGGCGCUGUGGGAUGAACCAAACGUCGAGUUAAAGCGCCCAAAUUGACGCUUAUGGGACACCAUGAAAGGCGUUGGUAACUUAAGACACCAGGGCGGUGGCCAUGGAAGUC